CAAGGGGCUAGGCUGGGGUAGGGGAAACUGAGUAGGGUAGCAGGUGUUUCAACCAUUUCCUGGAAAUGUUUUUGCCCGUUCGGCUAAGCAAGGUGGGCAGAUGUCUUAACUGUAUCCUAGAACUGUUUACUAGUUCUACUGAAAGUCUUGCACAAGCGGCUGUAGAAAAGUUGGGGAGGUGUUUGUAGGUGGUCACAAAGGACUGUAUUGUGAAGUUCCUGGAGGAGGAGGAGGGGUAGCUUGGAUCUCUAACAUUCCGGCCUUUAAUAGGUCAUAAAGGAAGAGGGCAACGUUAUCAUCUGACUGCUUGUAGCUGUGGAAGGGCGGCGUAGAAGAGGAAAGGCUGGGGGUUUCGGAUGGUUGUUUUUGAAGCCAUCAGUAUUCUUGAAGAAGCAGCAUAUCUUGAACUGUCCUAUGGGUGAAGGCUUUGAUGUGGUCCUGUAAAAACUGGCAUUGAAAUGGAUGGCAUCUGAUCCUGCUUCAUGUGAUUCUUCAUUUAGCUCUGGACUCUUUACAUCAUUAAGGUACCCUGAAUAUAUUCAGUAUGGCUUUUUCUUUGCAGGAAUUUAAAAGCAACCCUAUGAAUAUAACAUUUGUCAAAAAGAGCAAGUGCCAAGCCAGUUGAGAAUAACCUUACAAUGUGUACAAGGAUUCCAGCUUAUGCAACAUGAAAAUGGCAAGGAUGAAGACCUUUAUGAUGAUCCAUUUCCAUUUAAUGAAUAGUAAGUA
RNAcentral lists this long non-coding RNA (729 nucleotides) under Homo sapiens (human). RNAcentral's name for it is "HSALNT0085998". The record is from RNAcentral. Lineage: Eukaryota; Metazoa; Chordata; Mammalia; Primates; Hominidae.